This 1343-nucleotide ribosomal RNA is filed under the name uncultured bacterium. RNAcentral describes it as "16S ribosomal RNA". It matches the Rfam family "Bacterial small subunit ribosomal RNA", at positions 28 to 1378 of the family's 1533-position model. The record is from RNAcentral.
GACGAACGCUGGCGGCGUGCUUAACACAUGCAAGUCGAACGGAAAGGCCCUGCUUUUGUGGGGUGCUCGAGUGGCGUACGGGUGAGUAACACGUGAGUAACCUGCCCUUGACUUUGGGAUAACUUCAGGAAACUGGGGCUAAUACCGGAUAGGAGCUCCUGCUGCAUGGUGGGGGUUGGAAAGUUUCGGCGGUUGGGGAUGGACUCGCGGCUUAUCAGCUUGUUGGUGGGGUAGUGGCUUACCAAGGCUUUGACGGGUAGCCGGCCUGAGAGGGUGACCGGCCACAUUGGGACUGAGAUACGGCCCAGACUCCUACGGGAGGCAGCAGUGGGGAAUAUUGCACAAUGGGCGGAAGCCUGAUGCAGCAACGCCGCGUGCGGGAUGACGGCCUUCGGGUUGUAAACCGCUUUCGCCUGUGACGAAGCGUGAGUGACGGUAAUGGGUAAAGAAGCACCGGCUAACUACGUGCCAGCAGCCGCGGUGAUACGUAGGGUGCGAGCGUUGUCCGGAUUUAUUGGGCGUAAAGGGCUCGUAGGUGGUUGAUCGCGUCGGAAGUGUAAUCUUGGGGCUUAACCCUGAGCGUGCUUUCGAUACGGGUUGACUUGAGGAAGGUAGGGGAGAAUGGAAUUCCUGGUGGAGCGGUGGAAUGCGCAGAUAUCAGGAGGAACACCAGUGGCGAAGGCGGUUCUCUGGGCCUUUCCUGACGCUGAGGAGCGAAAGCGUGGGGAGCGAACAGGCUUAGAUACCCUGGUAGUCCACGCUGUAAACGGUGGGUACUAGGUGUGGGGUCCAUUCCACGGGUUCCGUGCCGUAGCUAACGCUUUAAGUACCCCGCCUGGGGAGUACGGCCGCAAGGCUAAAACUCAAAGGAAUUGACGGGGCCCCGCACAAGCGGCGGAGCAUGCGGAUUAAUUCGAUGCAACGCGUAGAACCUUACCUGGGUUUGACAUGGAUCGGGAGCGCUCAGAGAUGGGUGUGCCUCUUUUGGGGUCGGUUCACAGGUGGUGCAUGGCUGUCGUCAGCUCGUGUCGUGAGAUGUUGGGUUAAGUCCCGCAACGAGCGCAACCCUUGUUCACUGUUGCCAGCACGUUAUGGUGGGGACUCAGUGGAGACCGCCGGGGUCAACUCGGAGGAAGGUGGGGAUGACGUCAAGUCAUCAUGCCCCUUAUGUCCAGGGCUUCACGCAUGCUACAAUGGCUGGUACAGAGAGUGGCGAGCCUGUGAGGGUGAGCGAAUCUCGGAAAGCCGGUCUCAGUUCGGAUUGGGGUCUGCAACUCGACCUCAUGAAGUCGGAGUCGCUAGUAAUCGCAGAUCAGCAACGCUGCGGUGAAUACGUUCCCGGG